This 1365-nucleotide ribosomal RNA is filed under the name Microbacterium laevaniformans. RNAcentral's name for it is "bacterial SSU rRNA". It matches the Rfam family "Bacterial small subunit ribosomal RNA", at positions 54 to 1430 of the family's 1533-position model. Lineage: Bacteria; Bacillati; Actinomycetota; Actinomycetes; Micrococcales; Microbacteriaceae. The record is from RNAcentral.
CAUGCAGUCGAACGGUGAAGCCCAGCUUGCUGGGUGGAUCAGUGGCGAACGGGUGAGUAACACGUGAGCAAUCUGCCCCUGACUCUGGGAUAAGCGCUGGAAACGGCGUCUAAUACUGGAUAUGAACCGUGGAGGCAUCUUCAACGGUUGGAAAGAUUUUUUGGUCAGGGAUGAGCUCGCGGCCUAUCAGCUUGUUGGUGAGGUAAUGGCUCACCAAGGCGUCGACGGGUAGCCGGCCUGAGAGGGUGACCGGCCACACUGGGACUGAGACACGGCCCAGACUCCUACGGGAGGCAGCAGUGGGGAAUAUUGCACAAUGGGCGCAAGCCUGAUGCAGCAACGCCGCGUGAGGGAUGACGGCCUUCGGGUUGUAAACCUCUUUUAGCAGGGAAGAAGCGAAAGUGACGGUACCUGCAGAAAAAGCGCCGGCUAACUACGUGCCAGCAGCCGCGGUAAUACGUAGGGCGCAAGCGUUAUCCGGAAUUAUUGGGCGUAAAGAGCUCGUAGGCGGUUUGUCGCGUCUGCUGUGAAAUCCCGAGGCUCAACCUCGGGUCUGCAGUGGGUACGGGCAGACUAGAGUGCGGUAGGGGAGAUUGGAAUUCCUGGUGUAGCGGUGGAAUGCGCAGAUAUCAGGAGGAACACCGAUGGCGAAGGCAGAUCUCUGGGCCGUAACUGACGCUGAGGAGCGAAAGGGUGGGGAGCAAACAGGCUUAGAUACCCUGGUAGUCCACCCCGUAAACGUUGGGAACUAGUUGUGGGGUCCAUUCCACGGAUUCCGUGACGCAGCUAACGCAUUAAGUUCCCCGCCUGGGGAGUACGGCCGCAAGGCUAAAACUCAAAGGAAUUGACGGGGACCCGCACAAGCGGCGGAGCAUGCGGAUUAAUUCGAUGCAACGCGAAGAACCUUACCAAGGCUUGACAUAUACGAGAACGCUGCAGAAAUGUAGAACUCUUUGGACACUCGUAAACAGGUGGUGCAUGGUUGUCGUCAGCUCGUGUCGUGAGAUGUUGGGUUAAGUCCCGCAACGAGCGCAACCCUCGUUCUAUGUUGCCAGCACGUAAUGGUGGGAACUCAUGGGAUACUGCCGGGGUCAACUCGGAGGAAGGUGGGGAUGACGUCAAAUCAUCAUGCCCCUUAUGUCUUGGGCUUCACGCAUGCUACAAUGGCCGGUACAAAGGGCUSCAAUACCGUAAGGYGGAGCGAAUCCCAAAAAGCCGGUCCCAGUUCGGAWUGAGGUCUGCAACUCGACCUCAUGAAGUCGGAGUCGCUAGUAAUCGCAGAUCAGCAACGCUGCGGUGAAUACGUUCCCGGGUCUUGUACACACCGCCCGUCAAGUCAUGAAAGUCGGUAACACCUGAAGCCGG